AUCCUUUUGCAGGUCACAAGCAUGAUGAUUGGGGGUUCCCACUCACAUGUGACAUGUGCCUCCCUUAAAUCUUGUUAUGACAUCAGCCUGUUACCUGUCAGACA
Small nucleolar RNA from Otolemur garnettii (small-eared galago), 104 nucleotides. The record is from Ensembl. NCBI's taxonomy places the organism in Eukaryota, Metazoa, Chordata, Mammalia, Primates, Galagidae.